Molecule: long non-coding RNA, 492 nt
Filed under: Apteryx owenii (little spotted kiwi)
Lineage: Eukaryota; Metazoa; Chordata; Aves; Apterygiformes; Apterygidae
Description: lncRNA (ENSAOWG00000014027.1)
Source: RNAcentral
CUUGCCUGUCUGGGGAAGAAAUCCACUAAAAUAUGCAAGUGAGCAGUAAUUUAGGUGAAUGGUUCUUGAUUGUCAUGAAGAGCUGGAUCUGUUUUCUUGACUGUUUGCCUGCUGAGUGGUGGUUACUCAAGAGGAAGACAACGCUAUGGCUUGCUGCUCUCCACCUUGCAUUACAGGCUGGCUUCUCUGACCCUCUCUAGCACAGAUGACCUCGAAAUGGUCUCCGAGCAUCCUGCGAGGCAGGGAAGCCGCAUUAUCUCCGUAUUACAGAGGAAAAAGCUGGAGAUCAGACGCUGACCCAGCCCACCGAGGAUGCUGCGCACAGCAGGGUCACGGAAGAGCCAUGCCCAUGGCCCGUCCUUCACCCAGAUCCUCCAGCUCCGUCACGAGCAGCCAAGCAAACCCUUCCUGCGCGCUGCUGUAUGGACUCUGCGGGUUUAUUUGCUUCUCAGAGUGAAUUAAUAAAAUGGAAAAUGAGGACGAGUGGUUGCA